RNAcentral lists this long non-coding RNA (6984 nucleotides) under Sus scrofa (pig). RNAcentral describes it as "lncRNA (ENSSSCG00000052159.1)". The record is from RNAcentral. Lineage: Eukaryota; Metazoa; Chordata; Mammalia; Artiodactyla; Suidae.
AACUAGGAAGACUUCACAGAAGAGGUUUUUAUUGUCCCAAUAAAGAAGAAGGCAUUCUUGGUAAAGAAAACUGCCUGAGGAAAAGCACAGAAAAAGUGUGGUUGUUUUCGGGGAGUGGGAGUACUCCUGUGUGGUCUAGAAAAGAAACAGUAGGCUAGAGAAAGAUGGGUUGGGGAGAAUUUAUAGUUGGAGAUGAGACUCAAAUGGAAUAUUGCUGUGGGGCCAUGAUGGGCCAAGGUGGCAGGAUCAACAAAUUAGGUUUUAUCUUGGGAGCAGAAAGGAAAUCACAAAGGCUUUAAAGUGGGGGAAGGAUUAAUAGAGGUCUCCGAUUUGAAUUCAGGAAGAGAACUCUGAUGCCAAUUACAAAAAUUGGUUUAGAGAUGGAGAAGCCUGGAAGCCAAAAAGCAACUAGAUUUGAAUCAUUGGAAAAAUAUGGAUGAGAUAACAGAACUGCAUCUGUGCUGUUAACCACAUUGCCAUGAAUAUUCAUUUAUAUGGUUCCACAUGGUAGAAUAUUAUAUAGUAGGGAAAAUGAAUGAAUCAUAGUUAUACUCAGUGAUAUAGAUGGAUUUUAAACAUAACAUAUCAAAUCAAAAUAAAAGCAAAUUUCAGAAGACUACUUAUAAUACCUUUUUUAAAGCUCAAACAUAAACAAGCUAAAUAAUAUGUUUGGGAUAUGGACACACAUAGUAAAUCUAUAUUUUAAAAACAUCAGAAAAGCAUAAAUAUACCAUUCAAGACAUAAGUUAACUCUAGAAAGGAGGAAGGAGAAAGGAUUUGAGUGGGGCGAUUUAAGUUCUUCAGUGAUACUGCAGGUGCUGAGUCUUAUGUUAAGUAGUAACUUACAAAUAUAUUUCUUCCCUGUAUAUGUUUCAAGAAUUAUAUUAAUUUUAAAAAACCUGUUUUUCUAUAAAAAUUAAUUUUAUAAGGUCAAUUUCCCCUAAGCAACAAGUAAGCAAGUGAUUGAACAAAAUAUUUUUCUACUCCUGGACUCUUCUUACCUCAAUAUUCCAGAUUAUUCAAGACAAAUGUUUCUGCUUAUUUUUAAUUUAAUCAACAUGAUUUGGAGACCCAAGGAUGGCUACUGCCUGCCUCAGGCCCUUUAGAAGAAGUUAAUUCUUUCACACAGCUUGUAAGAAUUGCACACAAAAUACAACUAUGGACAAGAAAGAGUUUCCACAUCUCACUUAUAUGCUCAAUCCAUUGCUUCCCAUUCUCAAAUCUUCAAAUUUCUGGUCCCUAGUCCUGGAUGCUGGCUUUUCAUGUCUGUUCCUAUAAAGUGUACAAUGAUGACACUGCAGGACUCACAUGUGCCAGGCAAAUACAUGAUGAAUUUUACAUGAGAGAAGUCUUUGCAUUCUUGUAACAACCCUAUGAAACACUGCAAUCUUAAGUCUAGGGCUUAUAGUGAUAAAAUGACCUGCUGGUUCAGGCAGGUGGUAAGUGAUGGGGACUGGUUUUGAGUCCAGGCAAUCUGAGUCCAAAGCCUAUCUUUAUUUUAUUUUAGUUUUAAUUAUUUAUUUAUUUUUGUCUUUUUGUCUUUUCUGGGCCACACCCGCAGCAUAUGGAGGUUCCCAGGUGAGGGAUCUAAUUGGAGCUGUAGCUCCCGGCCUACACCAGAGCCACAGCAAUGCGGGAUCCAAGCUGUGUCAGCGACCCACACCACAGCUUGUGGCAAGGCUGGAUCCUCAACCCACUGAGCAAGGCCAGGAAUUGAACCUGAAACCUCAUGGUUCCUAGUCGGAUUUGUUUCCGUUGCACCACGAUGGGAACUCCCAAAGCCUAUCUUUAAAACCACUUUGAUACAUGUCUCAUUAGCUUUGCAACAUUCUCUCCCCUUGGUUUCGGUGGCCUUUGUCAUAUUCAGGGAAAGCCAUGAAUAUCCACCAGUCACUGACAAAUCAAGAUUUUCAGGGAGGAAGAGAGGAGUCAGAUAAUAUUAUCCACAAAAAUCAAAGAUAAUAUUGUAAACUGACCUAUUCCAGAUUUUCAGGAUGAUAUAUAAUUGCAGAGACUGGGAAAGGGAAAUAAAAUACCUCUGGGCUAUGAUGUGGGCUAUAGGGUGAGGUGAGCAUGAUGGACCAGAAGGGGAGCUGUCUCCGUCUACUGCCCACAUGGACACUGCAGUCUAGAUCUCUGUUGGAACUGGCAUUCAUCUCGAAAGUGGAAGAUAAUGGAGACUCCUGGCAAGAGAGGAUGGGAGAAUCCAAACUCUGGGUAGUCUGAAGGCUGUGGAACAGAGACUCAGCUGUGACUCUUUGUGUUAGGAGCAGACCUUAGCAGAGGAAAAACAGAUUUAUUAAGAGCAAAUACAGAAGUCACUCAUUCAGCCAAGCCAGCUGGAGUUCAUUGCUGAUGUCCAGUCAUGGUGAUCAAGAGCCUGGACUCCAAAGCCAGACAGCCUAGUUCACAGGUUGGAUUCACUACAUUCUGCUCAAUGCCUAUCUCACUGGCAUAAGUCAAAGGGGCCAAAGACUUGGCCCUCAAGAAAAAGUGGGAGUGGAUGUGGUACUUCAAGGCCUCUUCAGGGAAAUAGUACUCAAAGCCUCUGGUCAAGAUAAGAAUUAUCAGAUACUUAUUUUUUUACCACCUAUUUCAUUGUAAUGCCCCAUCCCCCAACUUGAGCAUCUUGGCCUACUCCUUUCUACCCUCUACUAGGAAAGAUAUGUGGCCCAUUCCUCACCCCACCCCUAUAAGGGCAUUAUAUGCCCCCAACCAACCAGUAAGUGUAUAUUAAGACCCUUCUUCCCCCAACCAAUCAGCAGGUCAGCAGGUGUAUCAUAAGAUCUAUCCCCUCUCCCUGGGCUAUAAGAACAGACACAACCAAGUGCUUGGAGUUGGCUCUCCCUUAUUAUCAGGAGGUCAUCCUACUCUACUAAUAGUGUUCUUAUCUCAAUAAACUCUUCUUUCUCUUCACUCAAAAUAAAGAAAAAAGAAGAAAUAAUUAUUGGCACACAGUAAGUGUUUACUAUAUUGUCUAUACUUUGAAAACUAUCAUCAUUUUAAAGCCCAUUUGCUUGGGGCAGAGUUUAAGGUCCACAUUCUAUAGCUUUGCAUGUUUAGGACAUAUCCUGCCCUUCCUGGCUCUGAUGGGACAAAACCACUGCUUAAAUGUGCAUCAAGUCCUUAUUCUUGGAUGAGGCUGUUGGAGUCAGGGGCAAGCAGAGUCAGAACUGGAAGGUUCCACCAAGGAGAACACAAUUAGAGCUGGAUAAAACCAACUGGAAACCAACACUUCAAGCCUGAAGUGUGAUUGCUGAUUUUUGUUGCUGUUGUUUCUUUAAUCUUUUUCCAGUUGACAAAUCUGUUAGAAAUACCUCCUAGGGCUUGGUGGAGGAACACUUCAAAGUUUAUGAGGGAGAUGAUGUUUCCAUUUAAUGGUACUGAUUAGCUUUGGUUCAAUAUUAGGCAAGUUAGGGUAAAUUUUUGCUGGAGGGAAUCUUACUGCCUGAGUCCAUAAUCAGUGUAUCCUGAAAGCAUCAGGACACUUGGAGAACCUGGGUAAUAGAAAGAAUACUGGUCAGAGAGGGUAAGUCCUAGAUUCUGGUCCCUAAGGAUCCUGCAUAUAGUCUUGACUCCCUCCACCAGGAGUCAGGAAGUCAGAGAAGAACUGUCCUAAGUCCAAACCUCUGGACUGUGAUGGUUGCUGCAACAUAUUCUUACAAUGCAGCAAAAGCAAAUAAAAGGGAGGAAUUAACUAAGGUUGGAGAGCAGCAGGAAGGCUUCUUGGAAGAAGUGGCUUUUAAGCUGGGAGGUGGAGGAAGGAUCACUUUCAAGAAGUUCAGACCAUUGAGUGCCUUGGAAAUGACACAGGUAACUUUGAAUUUUAUCCUCCAAGGCAGGGAGGCAACAUCCUGUCUGGGAAAGAACAACUGAGCAGGUCAGGAAACCUAGACUCUUGAUCAUCUCUGCCUUUGGGCAAGCUGUUUACAUUCUCUGAUUUGGACAGGAAGAAUGAGAACGUUUAGGGUCACUUUUGUUUCAUUCAAAGGUUUUUGAAUAUGUUUUGUAUGUACAAAUAUGUAUGUGCUCUUGGAAUAGGUAGCUAGUCUUUCCUUUAAGCCAUCAAUCAUCCCUUUAAUUGUCAAUCAACUGCCCAUCAAGGCCAGAGGAUGCUCUUUCCUGUCAGGUGUCUAUUUUAUCCUUGUGUAAUUGGCUCCUAAGUGCUUUGAUGUAUUGGCAGCCAUUGACCCUGCUAGUAACUUCCUGGAAGGGGGAAGGUGAGCAAGUCAAGCAAAAUGGCACCUUUAGAAGAUAAAAGGAGAAACAAAAUAUUUAUCUUUCCUUAGGUCUGUGGCGCCAUCAAAAAUUAAGUGUUCUUAGGAAGUAGGGCUGGAUAAGGACACAUGAAUUUUAAGGGGUCAGAAUCAUAAGCAGGAUGCACAUGAGCAAUUAUCUCAAUGUGCCCUUGAAAGCAAAAGGCCACUUUCAAAACCCUGAAGAGGCGGUGUGAUGUAGAGGGGGAAAAAGAUAAAAAACAAAAGGCAAACCAUGGUCAUAGGGUCAGAAGAUCUGUAUUUGAGGCCCAGGCCUGCUCCAACAUAUGUGACUCUGAUAAAUGACCUGUCUUCAUGGAGAUUCUGCUACUUAUUAAAUGGUCCUAACAAUGUUUAUGAGGCAGAAUUUCUAGGGAGAGUCAAUGAGAUAAUAUACAUGAAGAUGCCAGAUAAACAAGUGGAAUAUAAAAAGGAAUCAGUAAGGCUGAGAAAUGAUAGUUGGGUUUUUGUGAGUAAAAGGAACAAAGACUGAAUUUAAGGCACAGUACUGAGGCGAUAGAUUUUAAGAGCGCCCAUAAGUGAGCUCAAGUCUUAAUGAUCUACCAGAAGAGAAGACUCUCAUUGAAAUUCAAGUGUAAGGUCGUCCUUUGGAUUUGAGAGCAAAAAUCUGUGGUUCUAAAACUGUGUACCAGACCCUUGAUCUUUGUGUUUUGAAGUAAAAGCCCUUUCCUUUAGUCUCCCAGGCCUCCCCUCAGUCUCAAAAGGCUGACUUAAGAGUUGAUGAUUAGGAAAUAUUGUUACAGCUAAACACUAGUUAAAACAGUCUCCAUUACAUCAUGUCCUGCCUUGGCCCACUAACUUAUUGCUCAUGUUUAUUUUCUAGUUAUAGUUAUAUUGCACCUAGCAUCUGGCUUUUCACAAAUGAUCUCUUCCUUGAUUAACUGCUUUCUUUUACUAAUGGUUACUUUCCAGUUAUAUUGCACCUAGAACACCUCUAACACCCCUUCCCUGUGAGCAAUCUUCAUUCCACAGAGAAGGUCAAGGAAUGUUAACCCCAAAGACAACCAGAAACCAUCAUCGGACCCACUGACGCUGCACAUGAUGACUCUGAAAUGAUCUAUGGAUGAAGAAAAAUACAGACACCUUAAUAAACAACCCUGUCUUCUGAGCUAAACCUAUAAAACCCCGUGCUCUCCCCUCUCAAGACAGGACAUAGUUUUGAGGCACUCAUCUGCUGGGUCCUCCUUUGCCUAGCAAAGCAAUAAAGCUAUUCUCUCUCUUCCUCAAAACUCUGUCUCCGAGACUGUCUUUUCAGGAGGGAGCUGUGGUCAGGGACAGUUUCCAUUCCUUGCAAUGGAAUGAGCUGUCACCAUUAUUGGCAUGCCUUGCUAUUAACUUAUGCCUUCUUAUCUGCCUUAUUUUGCAGAUUGGGAUAUGUUAAUUACAGUGCUUGUGUAAUGAACUUAAGUAUGGAUAGCCAUGCUAAGAUUUAAAUAAGACCGAAGGGAGUUCCCAUUGUGGCUCAGUGUGUUAAGAACCCAACUAGUAUCCUUGAGGAUGUGGGUUCUAUCCCUAGCCUUGCUCAGUGGGUUAAGGAUCUGGUGUUGCAGAUGUGGCUUAGAUACCGUGUUGCUAUGGCGGUGGCAUAGGCUGCCGGCAGAUGAAGCUCAGAUUUGACCCCUUGCCUGGGAACUUCCAUAUGCUGCAGGUGUGGCCAUAAAAAGGGAAAAAAUAAAUUCAUAAAUGAGACUGGAGCCCAAGCCCUCUGCCCCUUUUUUUCUUGUUUUCUUCACUACCCCCAAUAUUCUGUUGUCUUUUUGUUUUUGUUUUUGACUGUGCCAGAAACAUGUAGAAGUUCCCAGACCACAAAUCAAACCUGAGCCACAGCAGUGACCAUUCUGAAUCCUUAACCACUAGGCCACCAGGGAACUUCCCAAUAUCAUUCUUAAAACUGGAUUUUUUUUGUUCCCCUUGCCUUUACUUCCUGAAUUGCAAAGUCUCCAAGUAAGAGCUUCUGUUUUUAUAUUGGCACAGGACAAAUGCAUAGCACAGAGCAGGACUUUUGAGUGUGGCUCUGGUUCCAUUCUGCUAGGAUUCAGACCAAAGAUCUUACAAAUUGUGCUUUCUUGGGCAAGCUGCUUCAUUGCCCUGAGCCCUUAGUUUGGGAUUAACAUCUGUGCACAUUUCACAAGGGUAUUGUUUAAAAUAAGCAAGAUAAGGCAGGUGAAGUGCUCAAAACAGUACCUAAGCAUAUAUUAAGUUCUAAAACUUUUUAAUACUAUUUAGUAGAAUUAGUAGUAGUAAUUGCAGUAGUAAUAGCCAUAUCUUGGAUGGGUGGAUGAAUAGACAUACAAAUGUAUGAAGGAAAAUUCUAUGACAUCUUUUUCUAAAAAGCUACUUCCCUUUGAUGAGGAUUUCUUGUUCUUUGGUUUGCUUUGGCAGCCUGACGAAAAGGGUGGGGAUUCCAGUUUUAAACUAUAUCCCCCCUGGGUUAUCUGAAUAGAAUGGCUGAAGCAGAGAAAAUGGCCAAUAAUGUUAAGAACAGAGUCCAUCUACAGAAACAGCUCCAGCUGCAAGAUCAUCAGCCUUGUAAAUUAUUUACGCUAUUGUUGAUCUAGAAUCCACUGCUACAAUUUCAAAAUUAAUUUACUCUAAUUACCCCCACUUAAUAAGAUAACUUGUCAGUUAUCACCACUCCCAUAAUCUCCCACAUUUCCGUCUCUUUUUAGCCUAAAUUAUCCUCUUCUAAGCUUGUUUUUAAUGUAUU